AAAGGGGCUUCGGCCCUGAGUAGAGUGGCGAACGGGUGAGUAACACGUGGGUGAUCUACCUUCGAGUGGGGGAUAACGUUCCGAAAGGAACGCUAAUACCGCAUGACGUUCUGGGUUUAAAGACCUGGAAACCAAAGCCGGGGACCGCAAGGCCUGGCGCUUGAAGAGGAGCCCGCGUCCGAUUAGCUAGUUGGCGGGGUAAUGGCCCACCAAGGCGACGAUCGGUAGCCGGCCUGAGAGGGCGGACGGCCACACUGGAACUGAGACACGGUCCAGACUCCUACGGGAGGCAGCAGUGGGGAAUUGUUCACAAUGGGCGCAAGCCUGAUGACGCAACGCCGCGUGGGGGAUGAAGGUCUUCGGAUUGUAAACCCCUGUCGAAUGGGACGAAAGACCCGGGAGCUAAUCAUCCCGGGAGUGACGGUACCGUUAAAGGAAGCCACGGCUAACUCUGUGCCAGCAGCCGCGGUAAUACAGAGGUGGCAAGCGUUGUUCGGAAUUACUGGGCGUAAAGGGCGCGUAGGCGGCCAUCUAAGUCAGACGUGAAAUCCCCCGGCUUAACCUGGGAACUGCGUCUGAUACUGGACGGCUUGAGUAUGGGAGAGGGAUGUAGAAUUCCAGGUGUAGCGGUGAAAUGCGUAGAUAUCUGGAGGAAUACCGGUGGCGAAGGCGGCAUCCUGGACCAUUACUGACGCUGAGGCGCGAAAGCUAGGGGAGCAAACGGGAUUAGAUACCCCGGUAGUCCUAGCCCUAAACGAUGAAUGCUUGGUGUGGCGGGUAUCGAU
This 785-nucleotide ribosomal RNA is filed under the name uncultured Acidobacteriota bacterium. RNAcentral's name for it is "bacterial SSU rRNA". It matches the Rfam family "Bacterial small subunit ribosomal RNA", at positions 71 to 836 of the family's 1533-position model. Lineage: Bacteria; Pseudomonadati; Acidobacteriota. The record is from RNAcentral.